UCUCCCAGUAACGGCGAGUGAACGGAGAUUAGCCCGUCACCGAAGUCCGGUGCUCUUGCACACAGGACAAUGUGGUGUUGAGGCAUGCACCUGGGGCACGCGUGCCCACCCGAAGUCCAACUCCGAUUGUGGCUUGGAUUUGGCCCAGAGCGGGUGAAAGGCCCGUACGGGUGGGCGGUUGAUCGCGAGCGCGGCCCUCAGAUGUGCAUGCUAUCGAGUCGGAUUGCUUGAGAAUGCAGUCCAAAGUGGGUGGUAAACUCCAUCCAAGGCUAAAUACUGGCACGAGUCCGAUAGUAGACAAGUACCGUGAGGGAAAGUUGAAAAGUACUCUGAAGAGAGAGUAAAUAGUACGUGAAACCGAUUGCAGGGAAGCUGGUGGAGUCAAGCUUCAUGCUUGGAGAAUUCUCGCUCGGAGCCCUGUUGUGUGUUGGGCAUGGUGCCGGUUAGCUUGGAAAGAGUUGGGCACACUCGUGUGCUUCAAGUCGGCCCGGGCACGGUUGAUUGAGCCGGUGCUAUUGCUCUGCUCUGAGCGAUCUAUUCUUCGCGGCAUAGAUCACGGUCGAUAGUGUGGUGAAACGUGCUGUCCGACUGUCUAACUGUGCUUUGGUGAGCUUACGGCCCGCCGGGUGCAGGAUGGCAGGUGGUGGUUGUGAGCCCUGUGCUCUCGACUGUUCAAGCUGGUCUCGACCUGCUGACAGUCGGACAGUAUCGUCGCUAUCGCAGAUGUGUGGUGUGCAGCCCUCGGACUGUACGCUGCUCAGAACCGUGAUUCUGAGGUAGACCUUCCACCCGACCCGUCUUGAAACACGGACCAAGAAGUUUAACAUGCGCGCAAGUCACUGGGCUCGUGUGAGCACGAAACCCAAAGGCGCAAUGAAAGUGAAUGACUGUUUUUGCAGUCUCAGGUGUGAUCCUGGCUCGUCCUCACAAGGCGACUGGGCGCAGCACCGGCCCGUCUAUCAGUGUUGUCAUGC
RNAcentral lists this ribosomal RNA (974 nucleotides) under Ligophorus minimus. RNAcentral describes it as "partial large subunit ribosomal RNA". It matches the Rfam family "Eukaryotic large subunit ribosomal RNA", at positions 76 to 785 of the family's 3401-position model. The record is from RNAcentral. Lineage: Eukaryota; Metazoa; Platyhelminthes; Monogenea; Dactylogyridea; Ancyrocephalidae.